RNAcentral lists this ribosomal RNA (451 nucleotides) under Araneus dimidiatus. RNAcentral's name for it is "partial 16S large subunit ribosomal RNA". It matches the Rfam family "Bacterial large subunit ribosomal RNA", at positions 1830 to 2601 of the family's 2925-position model. Lineage: Eukaryota; Metazoa; Arthropoda; Arachnida; Araneae; Araneidae. The record is from RNAcentral.
UUCUUACUGAUUUUUAUAGUAAGUACCACCUGCUCAAUGACUAAUUUUAAUAGCCGCAGAACUUUUACUGUGCUAAGGUAGCAUAAUCAUUAGCCCCUUAAUUAGGGGCUUGUAUGAAAGGUAAAACCAUUUAAUUUCUUUAUUAUUUAAUUUUAACAAAUUUAAACUAAGGAUUAAAAUGUCCUUAUUUAUAAGUUAGACGACAAGACCCUUUUGAACUUUACUUUAGUUUAGCUGGGGAAGCUUUAAAAUUAAAAUCUUUUAUCUUUCUCAUUUUCUUAAAUGACCCAAUAAAAUUGAUUUAUUGAACAAGUUACCAUAGGGAUAACAGCGUAAUAUCUUUUUCAAGCUCUUAUUUAUAAAGAAGAUUGCGACCUCGAUGUUGAAUUAAUGAUUCUUAACUACGCAAAAGUAGAAAAAGUGGGACUGUUCGUCCCUUAAAUCAUUACAU